GACGAACGCUGGCGGCGUGCUUAACACAUGCAAGUCGAACGGAAAGGCCCUGCUUUUGUGGGGUGCUCGAGUGGCGAACGGGUGAGUAACACGUGAGUAACCUGCCCUUGACUUUGGGAUAACUUCAGGAAACUGGGGCUAAUACCGGAUAGGAGCUCCUGCUGCAUGGUGGGGGUUGGAAAGUUUCGGCGGUUGGGGAUGGACUCGCGGCUUAUCAGCUUGUUGGUGGGGUAGUGGCUUACCAAGGCUUUGACGGGUAGCCGGCCUGAGAGGGUGACCGGACACAUUGGGACUGAAAUACGGCCCAGACUCCUACGGGAGGCAGCAGUGGGGAAUAUUGCACAAUGGGCGGAAGCCUGAUGCAGCGACGCCGCGUGCGGGAUGACGGCCUUCGGGUUGUAAACCGCUUUCGCCUGUGACGAAGCGUGAGUGACGGUAAUGGGUAAAGAAGCACCGGCUAACUACGUG
This 468-nucleotide ribosomal RNA is filed under the name uncultured bacterium. Its description in RNAcentral is "partial 16S ribosomal RNA". It matches the Rfam family "Bacterial small subunit ribosomal RNA", at positions 28 to 507 of the family's 1533-position model. The record is from RNAcentral.